AAUAUUAAAUCUGACUGCACUUCCCAAUCUCAGCCCGCGACAGCGAAAUCGGUUGAGGUGCCAUUUUAAAAUUGUGUUUGUCGCAAGCGCAUCGUGCCAGAUUUUUUAAUUUUUAGAAAAGAUACCAGCCGAAAAAGUUUUAAUAGUAAACACUCUUUAUUAGCAAAUGCGUGUGGGGCACUACAGGAUGCUUGCAGUUCCAUAUUGCAGAAUGACAACGAAAAACAACAAUUUGCCAGGAAUCAACUGGUUGUUGAAUAAUACGGCGAUGAAUUUCGUUCGAAAUAUGGAACUGAUGCCGGAAGAGCUCUAUCGAUAAAUUCCUGGAGUGGAAAGGAUAUCAAUUCUCGGUGAGAGUGUAUGGACGGCCUAUUUACUGAUUAGUGCACCAUGGGUUAUUGAUUGCCCUGCUCCGGUCUGCUGAGGUCUCAUUCUACUGCCCUUGUAUGAGGAAAAGAAUUUGCAACAAAGCUAAAUUGUUAUUGCAGCAAGAUGCAAUGUAUCGGGGAACACGAGUAACUGUAAUGUUGCAGUGCCAAAAACGUUUACGGGCUGCCAGCAGCUGCUGCUCAGGAUACCCUUUACCACAUACUCCAGUCGGUCAAGACAUGGACUGGACAUUGAAUACUAGCCAGAGUUCCUUCCGCUGAUGUGCAACCUAACGGUGAACCUGCAGAAUGAAUUUGUCGGUACAUUGAAGAGAAUAUUUGUUAUAGCUUAGUAUUUCCGUAUUUCGUAAUUACAGAUGCGAUAAACGA
This is a long non-coding RNA of Armigeres subalbatus, 758 nucleotides long. RefSeq lists it as uncharacterized. Lineage: Eukaryota; Metazoa; Arthropoda; Insecta; Diptera; Culicidae. The transcript is spliced from 4 exons. The record is from RefSeq and is a predicted model, not a curated record.